Molecule: ribosomal RNA, 366 nt
Filed under: uncultured bacterium
Lineage: Bacteria
Description: partial 16S ribosomal RNA
Rfam family: Bacterial small subunit ribosomal RNA
Source: RNAcentral
CCUACGGGAGGCAGCAGUAGGGAAUUUUCGUCAAUGGGCGCAAGCCUGAACGAGCGAUGCCGCGUGAGUGAAGAAGGCCCUCUGGUCGUAAAGCUCCGUUGCUGGGGAAAAAAGGCAGCAUCCGGGAAUGGGUGCUGACUGAUCGUGCCCCUCCAGACAGUCUAGGCUCACUACGUGCCAGCAGCCGCGGCAAUACGUAGGUGGCGUGCGUUAUCCGGAGUGAUUGGGCGUAAAGGGUGCGCAGGCGGUCCGGCAAGUCUGGAGUGAAACGCAUGAGCUCAACUCAUGCAUGGCUUUGGAUACUGGAGGACUGGAGAGCAGGAGAGGGAGGUGGAAUGCAAGGUGUAGCGGUGAAAUGCGUAGAUA